RNAcentral lists this ribosomal RNA (253 nucleotides) under uncultured bacterium. Its description in RNAcentral is "partial 16S ribosomal RNA". It matches the Rfam family "Bacterial small subunit ribosomal RNA", at positions 524 to 776 of the family's 1533-position model. The record is from RNAcentral.
UACGGGGGGGGCAAGCGUUGUUCGGAAUUACUGGGCGUAAAGGGCUCGUAGGCGGCCAACUAAGUCGGAUGUGAAAUCCCCAGGCUUAACCUGGGAACUGCAUCCGAUACUGGAUGGCUUGAAUCCGGGAGAGGGAUGCAGAAUUCCAGGUGUAGCGGUGAAAUGCGUAGAUAUCGAGAGGAACACCUGCGGCGAAGGCGGGUUGCUGGGCUGACACUGACGCUGAGGCGCGAAAGCUAGGGGAGCGAACGGG